AAUAAAGGGCAAUUGUCUUGUAAUUGGAAUGAUGGUGACGUAAAAUCUCACCAGAGUAACAAUUGGAGGGCAAGUCUGGUGCCAGCAGCCGCGGUAAUUCCAGCUCCAAUAGCGUAUAUUAAACUUGUUGCAGUUAAAAAGCUCGUAGUUGAAUUUCUGCGUUGCCCGACUCGGCUACUUGCCUUGUCUGGUUUCACUUUUGGGGUUUUCCCCUUUUUACUUUGAGAAAAUUAGAGUGUUUCAAGCAGACUUGUGUCUUGAAUACUCCAGCAUGGAAUAAUAAAGUAGGACUUUGGUUCUAUUUUGUUGGUUUGUGAACCUUAGUAAUGGUUAAUAGGAACGGUUGGGGGCAUUCGUAUUUAACUGUCAGAGGUGAAAUUCUUAGAUUUGUUAAAGACGAACUACUGCGAA
Molecule: ribosomal RNA, 411 nt
Filed under: Babesia gibsoni
Lineage: Eukaryota; Apicomplexa; Aconoidasida; Piroplasmida; Babesiidae
Description: SSU rRNA
Rfam family: Eukaryotic small subunit ribosomal RNA
Source: RNAcentral